GGGGGAAUUGGGAUUUCUGGGAGCAGAUGGGAUUGUCAGAAUUUCUUCAGUAACAGGCAUUUCUGCUGUUUAUUGUUCAUAAAUCCUUUCAGAGCAAGCUAUAUUGGUCAGGAUUCCUUUUGGAGCAAGCAGGUUUGGUCAGAAAUCCUUUGGGAGGAGAUAAGAGUGGUCAGGAUUUCUAUGGGAGUGGGUUGGAUUGUUAAGAAUUUCUUUUGGACCAGAUGGGAUUGGUUAGAAUUCCUUUUGAAGAAGCAGCAUUGGUCAGAAUUCCUUUUGGACCAGAUGGAAUUGGACCGAAUUCCUUUGGGAGUAGAUGGGAUUGCUCAGAACUCCUUUUGGAGCAAACGGGAUUGGUCAGAACUCCUUUUGGAGCAGAUGGGAUUGAUCAGAACUCCUUUGGAGCAGGUGGGAUUGAUCACAACUCCUAUGGAGCAGGUGGG
Molecule: long non-coding RNA, 440 nt
Organism: Ictalurus punctatus (channel catfish)
Lineage: Eukaryota; Metazoa; Chordata; Actinopteri; Siluriformes; Ictaluridae
Source: Ensembl